CCUCAACAUGACAAGUGAUAACGAAAUCGAAACAAGGAUGUGCCGUGGGAAAGACAUUACGAAAUUUACCUACUGGGUGUCCUCGCCCUGUGUGACCGUCCCUUCGGUGUUCCUCAGGGCCCAAUAAGAGGGAAAGAAAUGUUGACAGACAAAGCAACAGGUCCUGAGGAAUCUAUGGCACCUAACAGUCACCUACAGAAUAAGGUGGACGAGCAUCUUGAGGAGAAGAAUAAGGUCCUGUCAACCCACCGGAUGUAAAGGCUCUUCGAUGCUCUUAUGUUGGUGAGUAAUAAUGAGGAUUUUGUGCUUAAGGAAUU
Molecule: long non-coding RNA, 317 nt
Organism: Eriocheir sinensis (Chinese mitten crab)
Lineage: Eukaryota; Metazoa; Arthropoda; Malacostraca; Decapoda; Varunidae
Exons: 3
Source: RefSeq, a predicted model, not a curated record